AUAGCUGUCCAAAAUACCCAAUAUACUAUAACCGACUCGGAUCCUAGCUCAACUUGAACCGAACCUGAUAAAAAAUGAAUAGUAUACGGAUAAAAGAUAUUAUCCAUUAAAGUUUGGGUAUAGAUCCAGAUACUUUAUAUCGAUAUCCGACUUGGAUCUGACCUGAAUCUGACCUUUUAAUGGGUAGGUCUGAAAGAGUUUCCAAAUCCAGACUAGGAACUAGACUCGAAUCUGAACCCGAUGAAAUAUUUGAUAGUAAAAAAAAAAAUGAAAAAUUCAAAUACCACCCCUAGGGUUUCGCACUUUUUCACUUUAGUAUCCAGCGGUUUAAAGUGUAUCAAUUUAGUACCCUAUGGUUUCGCACUUUCUCACUUUAGUAUCCUGUGGUUUAAAAUGCAUCACUUUAGUAUCCUGUGGUUUCAUUUUUCUCUUUUCGUCGGCUCCUCUGUUAAUAUUUCAUUAAAUUAUAUACAAAAAACUUCAGAUACCCUACCUAGGUUUAUCGAACAUUUACUUUACUAUCCUUUAGUUUUAAUUUUGUCACUGAUUUUUUUUCCUCCGUUAAUAUUUCGUUAAAUUAUAUACAAAAAAACUUCAGAUACUCUACCUAGGUUUAUUAAAUAUUCACUUUAGUACCCUUUAAUUUUAACUUUAUCACUGAUUUAACAAAAAAAAUUAGUGAAAUGGAUAAUAAAAAGAGAAAAAUGAAAUCGCAGGAUACUAACUUAAUACACUUUAAACCACAGGGUACUAAAGUGAGAAAGUGCGAAAUCACAGGGGCUAACUUGAUACACUUUAAACCACAAGAUACUAAAGUGAGAAAGUGUGAAACCACAUAGAGGUAUUUGAAGUUUACC
RNAcentral lists this long non-coding RNA (857 nucleotides) under Ananas comosus (pineapple). Its description in RNAcentral is "long non-coding RNA (ACOM_LNC007585)". Lineage: Eukaryota; Viridiplantae; Streptophyta; Magnoliopsida; Poales; Bromeliaceae. The record is from RNAcentral.